Molecule: long non-coding RNA, 323 nt
Organism: Dermacentor silvarum
Lineage: Eukaryota; Metazoa; Arthropoda; Arachnida; Ixodida; Ixodidae
Exons: 2
Source: RefSeq, a predicted model, not a curated record
CAGAAAAUUUACCUGCUGUAUUUUCUCUUACAGCUAGGAACACUUCGCUUCCUAGAGACAUCGCACUUCACCAUCUCGUCGCUACUCAUUCUGCUUGGCACAACCAAAGAAACCAUCAACGCCAGGUUUUGCACAAGCCCAUCAUUCUGGUGCCGGCCAGUAAUCCAAUUCACUCGUACCUUCUUUGUGGAGAAGGAACUGUUACUGGCUGGCACAGAAUUUUUCAUCACCAUUCUCGUCUUCAUCUGCCCCAACAUUUAUGUUUGUUUUUGUUGCUUUCACCAAAGGUGCGAAAAAAAUAAACCACUACAAAAACAUGAUAA